CCUACGGGUGGCAGCAGUGAGGAAUAUUGGUCAAUGGUCGGGAGACUGAACCAGCCAAGCCGCGUGAGGGAUGAAGGUACAGAGUAUCGUAAACCUCUUUUGACAGGGAACAAAGGCGGGGACGUGUCCCCGGAUGAGUGUACCUGAAGAAAAAGCAUCGGCUAAGUCCGUGCCAGCAGCCGCGGUAACCCGGAGGAUGCGAGCGUUAUCGGGAUUUAUGGGGGUAAAAGGGGGCGCAGGGGGUCUGUUAAGUCACCGGGCAAAGCCCGGUGCUCAACCCGGGCCCGCCGUUGAAACUGGCAGUCUCGAGUUGGAGAGAGGUAUGCGGAAUGCGCGGUGUAGCGGUGAAAUGCAUAGAUAUCGCGCAGAACUCCGAUUGCGAAGGCGGCAUGCCGGCUCCACACUGACGCUGAGGCACGAGAGCGUGGGUAUCGAACAGGAUUAGAUACCCGUGUAGUC
RNAcentral lists this ribosomal RNA (459 nucleotides) under uncultured bacterium. Its description in RNAcentral is "partial 16S ribosomal RNA". It matches the Rfam family "Bacterial small subunit ribosomal RNA", at positions 338 to 795 of the family's 1533-position model. The record is from RNAcentral.